AGGAAUAUUACAGAAUGCGUAAUUUGGCCGGGGAAAAACGUUGUCUUAAUGACAGAGCCUUGAAUGCGGCGGCAUUAAAUUUAGCAGCUAUCAGACGACAGGAAAUGUAGUGACAGGUGGGUCUUGUGUGUAUGUGUGUAGGACGGGCCCCCUCUUUUGUGGCGGGUCAGGGCCAAACUGGUCCUCCAGGUACACAGGAAAUGGCAUCUUAUCUCAUUCACUUCAACCCAAGACUGGUUCUCGAUCGAGUCUUUUACUACCCCUCCCCUGUUACUGGUCUGUUGGCUAAUGUGUUGCGAAGGCUAUACAGAUUUAACAGAUUAACCUUUACUUAAUUCGACACUUUUUUUUCUUCCUAAAAGCAAACCAAAUAUCGAAUAAUGCAUUUUUAUCGGAG
This 397-nucleotide long non-coding RNA is filed under the name Androctonus crassicauda. The record is from RNAcentral. Lineage: Eukaryota; Metazoa; Arthropoda; Arachnida; Scorpiones; Buthidae.